UACAGAGGGGGCAAGCGUUAUUCGGAAUUAUUGGGCGUAAAGGGCGCGUAGGCGGCAUGGCAAGUGGAAGGUGAAAUCCCUCGGCUUAACCGAGGAACUGCCCUCCAAACUGCUUCGCUUGAGACCGGGAGAGGUGAGUGGAAUUCCCAGUGUAGCGGUGAAAUGCGUAGAUAUUGGGAGGAACACCAGUGGCGAAGGCGGCUCACUGGACCGGUACUGACGCUGAUGCGCGAAAGCGUGGGGAGCAAACGGG
Molecule: ribosomal RNA, 253 nt
Filed under: uncultured bacterium
Lineage: Bacteria
Description: partial 16S ribosomal RNA
Rfam family: Bacterial small subunit ribosomal RNA
Source: RNAcentral